Molecule: unclassified non-coding RNA, 348 nt
Filed under: soil metagenome
Description: partial contains 5.8S ribosomal RNA, internal transcribed spacer 2, and large subunit ribosomal RNA
Rfam family: 5.8S ribosomal RNA (bases 1-120)
Source: RNAcentral
GAUGAAGAACGUAGCGAAAUGCGAUAAGUAAUGUGAAUUGCAGAAUUCAGUGAAUCAUCGAAUCUUUGAACGCACAUUACGCCCGCCAGUAUUCUGGCGGGCAUGCCUGUCUGAGCGUCAUUUCAACCCUCAUGCCCCUAGGGCGUGGUGUUGGGGAUCGGCCAAAGCCCGCGAGGGACGGCCGGCCCCUAAAUCUAGUGGCGGACCCGUCGUGGCCUCCUCUGCGAAGUAGUGAUAUUCCGCAUCGGAGAGCGAUGAGCCCCUGCCGUUAAACCCCCAACUUUCCAAGGUUGACCUCAGAUCAGGUAGGAAUACCCGCUGAACUUAAGCAUAUCAAUAAGCGGAGGA